GUGGAACUGCACACCCUUCCCUGAUGGGGCCCUGUCUAUCAGCAGCCUGCAUGACACCUGCCCUCCGCCCUGUACAGAGGAACCAGCAGGAGGCCCUGGGAACCAGGCCUGUAAUGUGGGAAGAUGGACAGCAGGAAGCAGGGGCCAGGCUGGGGCUGGAUAUGCAUCACCCCAUCCCCAGGGCCAUAGGCUAGAGGCCAAGAGGCGGUCAGGAAAUGGGAAAUCUCGCAGGCCGUUAAGUGUGAUCUCUGUCUAAGAUUGCCCAGAUGGAGGGGAAGACAGGGCCACGCUGGCUCUCCUCACCCCGCCCCGUCCUCCUCUGUGGGGGACCCACCUUGGACGGGGAGGCCUCCAUCUGAGGUACUAGGAUGGCCCACCCUCCACCAAGAUGAAGCUGUGUCCCCUAAAGCCAUUCUCUAGAGUGCUCUCCGGGCCCGGGACUUGGGGGCAACGGGAAGCGGUGGGUGGCACAGCGGCGGCUGCCGUCUCUCUGAUCUUGGCUUCCUGGUGACAGCGGUGAGGACAGUGGUGACAGUGAAGGCGAUGUCACAAGCACGGACGCGAGACCAGGAGACAUUACUUAGCUCAGUGGGUACUAAGCCCACGGGCCUCAACUCUCCCUGGGUACGGAGAGCUGGGGUGUAACGAGAUUCGUGAUCUAUCGUCAUUGCGCAGAGGACGAUGGGAACUGCAGACACCGCCCUAACAGGAAUCACUAUGGCCACUCUCCCCUUGCAGGGAGACCCCGGGGAAGUCGGAUCCUAACCAAGGCUGCUGUUCCUUCCCAGCUUGGGGCGGCUAAAUCCAAAGGUCAGCGUGGCUGUCUUCCCUAUGCUGAAUGAGCCUCCUUUCCCAACACAAACACACACACACACACACACACGGGCUUCAGCUACAGCUCCUCUCGGAGCCCAGAUUCAGUUCAGAAUUCACAUUGAUGACGUGUUCGGAGAAUGGCUACUCAGGGAGGGCCUUGGGGCUUUCGGAGGAGACCACGAGUGCGGAGUGUGGCAUCUGCGGCCUCUUUCAACUGCUCGGCAGCCUCGGGGCCCGGGUUCUCCCCGUUUUACUUUGGAUGAAGAGACCCGAGAGCACGUGGAUUCCCAGAGGGCAGCCUCUCAAAGCCGCAAUGCGUGGAGGGCCCCGAGCCACUGCCUGAACCGUGAGACCCGCUUCCUGUUUGCCCACCGCCUUCAGGUUCUGCCAGCCCAGGGCUGAGCUGGUGCCCAGCACCCGCUAAGGUGCUCGAGAAAUAUCCCAACCCCCACCCCAUUCUCUGGUCGGUCUGGUCCAGAAUUUUAAAACUUUGUAACUUAUUUUGAAUUGUAGUAAAAUCUGCGUGCCACACACU
Molecule: long non-coding RNA, 1351 nt
Filed under: Fukomys damarensis (Damara mole-rat)
Lineage: Eukaryota; Metazoa; Chordata; Mammalia; Rodentia; Bathyergidae
Description: lncRNA (ENSFDAG00000032624.1)
Source: RNAcentral